Molecule: long non-coding RNA, 414 nt
Filed under: Cyanistes caeruleus (blue tit)
Lineage: Eukaryota; Metazoa; Chordata; Aves; Passeriformes; Paridae
Description: lncRNA (ENSCCEG00000007273.1)
Source: RNAcentral
CCAGAAUUGUGUGUUUUUGCUGUGUUUCACUUGGUACUCAGCAUUAAUCCUUCCUGUACUUACAUUUUCAGGUGCACUGCUGGAAGUGGCCCUUGCUGCCAUAUCCAAAAAUAAAGCCCUUUUCUUGAAGGAACGAGACAUUGAGGUUUAGUUUGCUAUGGCAGAGGCUUUGGGAAUGUGCAACAAAAAUUCAGAAGUCUAAUUAAGGAAGCAUUGAAUUUAAGGCCUGCCUUGACUUUUUCACUCAGUGAUCGUUGUUGAACCGCUUGGUCCCAUUCAGGCUUAGAACUGAAUUACCAAUAGUCAAGAACAGGAGACUGGAGCAAGAGGCUCAAAGCUGCAUUUUAUUGAGCAUUUGUCUGGCUUGCUGUGACACGUGGAUACAUCUGUGUUCAAGGAGCUGAAUUAGUUAUG